RNAcentral lists this ribosomal RNA (362 nucleotides) under uncultured bacterium. Its description in RNAcentral is "bacterial SSU rRNA". It matches the Rfam family "Bacterial small subunit ribosomal RNA", at positions 30 to 339 of the family's 1533-position model. The record is from RNAcentral.
AUUGAACGCUGGCGGCAUGCCUUACACAUGCAAGUCGAACGUGAAAGCGGGGCAACCCGCAAGUAGAGUGGCGGACGGGUGAGUAAUACAUCGGAACGUGUCCAGUAAUGGGGGAUAACCUAGCGAAAGUUAGGCUAAUACCGCAUACGAUCUGCGGAUGAAAGCGGGGGAUGCGGCACUAAAGGCUUUUGGCGAAGGUGGCCAAAGGUGAGUCAAGAGCUUUUAGUGCNGCACCUCGCGUUAUUGGAGCGGCUGAUGUCUGAUUAGCUAGUUGGUGAGGUAAAGGCUUACCAAGGCGACGAUCAGUAGCUGGUCUGAGAGGACGGCCAGCCACACUGGGACUGAGACACGGCCCAGACUCC